This 47-nucleotide non-coding RNA is filed under the name Schistosoma mansoni. The record is from RNAcentral. Lineage: Eukaryota; Metazoa; Platyhelminthes; Trematoda; Strigeidida; Schistosomatidae.
AUCCAGAUGACGUGUCCAGGAUAGGACGAAAUGUGCGCACCCUGGAU